UUUGAUAAUUAUAACGUGAUAGAACCACCUGAAUAAAAAUAAUAUUUUAUUUAUUUUUUCCAUUCCGAACUCAGAAGUGAAAUGUCAUAGUGCCGAUGGUAGUGUAUUAAUUUAUGUGAGAGUAGGAAAUUAUCAAAU
This 138-nucleotide ribosomal RNA is filed under the name endosymbiont of Sipalinus gigas. Lineage: Bacteria; Pseudomonadati; Pseudomonadota; Gammaproteobacteria. The record is from RNAcentral.